UGGGGAAUAUUGCACAAUGAGGGAAACCCUGAUGCAGCGACGCCGCGUGAACGAAGAAGGUAUUCGUAUCGUAAAGUUCUGUCCUAUGGGAAGAUAAUGACAGUACCAUAGAAGAAAGCUCCGGCUAAAUACGUGCCAGCAGCCGCGGUAAUACGUAUGGAGCGAGCGUUGUCCGGAAUUAUUGGGCGUAAAGGGUACGCAGGCGGUUUAAUAAGUCGAAUGUUAAAGAUCGGGGCUCAACCCCGUAAAGCAUUGGAAACUGAUAAACUUGAGUAGUGGAGAGGAAAGUGGAAUUCCUAGUGUAGUGGUGAAAUACGUAGAUAUUAGGAGGAAUACCAGUAGCGAAGGCGAGUUUCUGGACACAAACUGACGCUGAGGUACGAAAGCGUGGGGAGCAAACAGG
Molecule: ribosomal RNA, 403 nt
Filed under: bacterium
Lineage: Bacteria
Description: partial 16S ribosomal RNA
Rfam family: Bacterial small subunit ribosomal RNA
Source: RNAcentral